GCAGCAGCCGCGGGAAUACGGAGGGUGCAAGCGUUAAUCGGAAUUACUGGGCGUAAAGCGCACGCAGGCGGUCUGACAAGUCAGAUGUGAAAUCCCCGGGCUUAACCUGGGAACUGCAUUUGAAACUGUCAGGCUGGAGUCUUGUAGAGGGGGGUAGAAUUCCAGGUGUAGCGGUGAAAUGCGUAGAGAUCUGGAGGAAUACCGGUGGCGAAGGCGGCCCCCUGGACAAAGACUGACGCUCAGGUGCGAAAGCGUGGGGAGCAAACAGGAUUAGAUACCCGCGUAGUCCCUGUCUCUUAUAA
RNAcentral lists this ribosomal RNA (302 nucleotides) under uncultured bacterium. RNAcentral's name for it is "partial 16S ribosomal RNA". It matches the Rfam family "Bacterial small subunit ribosomal RNA", at positions 508 to 809 of the family's 1533-position model. The record is from RNAcentral.